GCCUGUCUAACUCAGUUGGUAGAGGGCAAAGCUCUUAGCUUUGUGGUCGUGAGUACGAGCCCCACGGUUGGCG
RNAcentral lists this transfer RNA (73 nucleotides) under Glycine max (soybean). RNAcentral describes it as "tRNA-Lys". The record is from RNAcentral. RNAcentral also lists the same sequence under 1 other name. Lineage: Eukaryota; Viridiplantae; Streptophyta; Magnoliopsida; Fabales; Fabaceae.